This 88-nucleotide transfer RNA is filed under the name Aquihabitans sp. RNAcentral describes it as "tRNA-Ser". It matches the Rfam family "tRNA". Rfam says of the family: Transfer RNA (tRNA) molecules are approximately 80 nucleotides in length. Their secondary structure includes four short double-helical elements and three loops (D, anti-codon, and T loops). Lineage: Bacteria; Bacillati; Actinomycetota; Acidimicrobiia; Acidimicrobiales; Iamiaceae. RNAcentral also lists the same sequence under 6 other names. The record is from RNAcentral.
GGAGGGGUGCGAGAGCGGCCGAAUCGGCACGCUUGGAAAGCGUGUGUGGGGAAACUCACCGUGGGUUCGAAUCCCACCCUCUCCGCCA